RNAcentral lists this ribosomal RNA (516 nucleotides) under uncultured bacterium. RNAcentral's name for it is "partial 16S ribosomal RNA". It matches the Rfam family "Bacterial small subunit ribosomal RNA", at positions 28 to 523 of the family's 1533-position model. The record is from RNAcentral.
GACGAACGCUGGCGGCGUGCCUAACACAUGCAAGUCGAACGGAGAUUUCAGCAAUGGAAUCUUAGUGGCGAACGGGUGAGUAACGCGUAGACAACGUACCUUCUAGAUGGGAACAACACUGCGAAAGUGGUGAUAAGACCGAAUGUUGUAUGUGAAACGCCUGUUUCACAUACUAAAGGGGGCGUCUUGUUUUAAGCUACCACUAGAAGAUGGAUAUGCGUCUGAUUAGCUAGUUGGUGAGGUAAUGGCUCACCAAGGCGACGAUCAGUAGCCGGUCUGAGAGGAUGAACGGCCACACUGGGACUGAGACACGGCCCAGACUCCUACGGGAGGCAGCAGUGGGGAAUCUUCCGCAAUGGACGAAAGUCUGACGGAGCAACGCCGCGUGAGUGAAGAAGGUUUUCGGAUCGUAAAACUCUGUUUUCAGGGACGAAUGUGCAAUAUGUGAAUAAUGUGUUGUAAUGACGGUACCUGACAAGAAAGCCACGGCUAACUACGUGCCAGCAGCCGCAGUAA